Molecule: long non-coding RNA, 356 nt
Filed under: Salmo salar (Atlantic salmon)
Lineage: Eukaryota; Metazoa; Chordata; Actinopteri; Salmoniformes; Salmonidae
Description: lncRNA (ENSSSAG00000121887.1)
Source: RNAcentral
CAACCACCCGAGCCACUGUCUGUUCACCCCGCUAUCAUCCAGAAGGCGAGUGUGCUUGAUCCUGAUCCUCAGACCCUCACAACACACAGGAGCUUUCACCAGGGUUUCAACAGGAAUUCACCAAGGUUUCCCAACCCUUUAAGAACCAGGGGCCGGCUGGGUAUGGUUCUCCUUCUAUAAAAACUGGUGUCAGUUUACCCUCUAAGCUAGGGACUAGUCAGCAACUGGUUAGCAUGAUGUGACUGGAGUCUCACUCUAACUUUCAUUUAAUAUUAAAUGGAGGUCACCACCCCAUUACACACACCACACACACACACGUGCGUGCACACACACAAACACACAAACCUCCCCCCCAG